Molecule: ribosomal RNA, 405 nt
Filed under: uncultured bacterium
Lineage: Bacteria
Description: partial 16S ribosomal RNA
Rfam family: Bacterial small subunit ribosomal RNA
Source: RNAcentral
AUUGAACGCUAGCGGGAUGCUUUACACAUGCAAGUCGAACGAGUGGCGGACGGGUGAGUAAUAUCUCGGAACGUGCCCAUUAGAGGGGGAUAACUACUCGAAAUAGUGGCUAAUACCGCAUCCUCUUGGAGCUGCCCAUAUUGGAUUAGCUCGUUGGUGGGGUAAAGGCGCACCAAGGCAACGAUCCGUAGCUGGUUUGAGAGGAUGACCGGCCCAACUGGGACGGAGACACGGGCCAGACUCCUACGGGAGGCAGCAGUGGGGAAUUUUGGACAAUGGGGGAAACCCUGAUCCAGCCAUGCCGCGUGUAGGAGAAGGCCGUCGGGUUGUAAAGUACUUUUGGCAGAGAAGCGGUAUCGGCAGAAUAAGCACCGGCUAACUACGUGCCAGCAGCCGCGGUAAUAC